AGCUGGUCCGAUGGUAGGAGGUUUCAGAACUUAGUAACAUUACUGUCACUAAAGUUGGCAUUCAACCCCCACUGCUAAAUUUGACUGGCUUAAG
Molecule: Y RNA, 94 nt
Filed under: Microcebus murinus (gray mouse lemur)
Lineage: Eukaryota; Metazoa; Chordata; Mammalia; Primates; Cheirogaleidae
Description: Y RNA (ENSMICG00000021443.3)
Rfam family: Y RNA
About the family: Y RNAs are components of the Ro ribonucleoprotein particle (Ro RNP), in association with Ro60 and La proteins.
Source: Rfam by way of RNAcentral